This 93-nucleotide transfer RNA is filed under the name Dactylellina haptotyla CBS 200.50. It matches the Rfam family "tRNA". From Rfam's summary of the family: Transfer RNA (tRNA) molecules are approximately 80 nucleotides in length. Their secondary structure includes four short double-helical elements and three loops (D, anti-codon, and T loops). The record is from Rfam by way of RNAcentral. Lineage: Eukaryota; Fungi; Ascomycota; Orbiliomycetes; Orbiliales; Orbiliaceae.
GGCCUCGUGGUGUACUUGGUUCGCAUAUCCCAUCGUUAGUAUUCAUUCUAAACUCUUUGAGGGAAGAUACAGGUUCAAAUCCUGUCGGGGCCC